This is a long non-coding RNA of Leopardus geoffroyi (Geoffroy's cat), 165 nucleotides long. RefSeq lists it as uncharacterized. The transcript is spliced from 2 exons. The record is from RefSeq and is a predicted model, not a curated record. NCBI's taxonomy places the organism in Eukaryota, Metazoa, Chordata, Mammalia, Carnivora, Felidae.
GUGCUGCUCAGAACAACCUGACACCCUGACAGAGGGCGAGGGUCAAAGGCUAGUGCCAGCCCUGUCUGUCCAGUCCAGCAGCUGUGCUCUUCCAGAAGCUGAACGCCACAAAGCUCUCACAGGGCCUAUGACUUCUAUUGGUGAUAAAGUCACCCAUUCUGCUAA